CUUCCGUAGGGGAACCUGCGGAAGGAUCAUUACAGUAUUCUUUUUGCCAGCGCUUAAUUGCGCGGCGAAAAAACCUUACACACAGUGUUUUUUGUUAUUACAAGAACUUUUGCUUUGGUCUGGACUAGAAAUAGUUUGGGCCAGAGGUUUACUGAACUAAACUUCAAUAUUUAUAUUGAAUUGUUAUUUAUUUAAUUGUCAAUUUGUUGAUUAAAUUCAAAAAAUCUUCAAAACUUUCAACAACGGAUCUCUUGGUUCUCGCAUCGAUGAAGAACGCAGCGAAAUGCGAUAAGUAAUAUGAAUUGCAGAUUUUCGUGAAUCAUCGAAUCUUUGAACGCACAUUGCGCCCUCUGGUAUUCCAGAGGGCAUGCCUGUUUGAGCGUCAUUUCUCUCUCAAACCUUCGGGUUUGGUAUUGAGUGAUACUCUUAGUUGAACUAGGCGUUUGCUUGAAAUGUAUUGGCAUGAGUGGUACUGGAUAGUGCUAUAUGACUUUCAAUGUAUUAGGUUUAUCCAACUCGUUGAAUAGUUUAAUGGUAUAUUUCUCGGUAUUCUAGGCUCGGCCUUACAAUAUAACAAACAAGUUUGACCUCAAAUCAGGUAGGAUUACCCGCUGAACUUAAGCAUAUCAAUAAGCGGAGGAA
RNAcentral lists this ribosomal RNA (642 nucleotides) under Debaryomyces hansenii. RNAcentral's name for it is "eukaryotic LSU rRNA". The stretch from base 232 to 385 matches the Rfam family "5.8S ribosomal RNA". Lineage: Eukaryota; Fungi; Ascomycota; Pichiomycetes; Serinales; Debaryomycetaceae. The record is from RNAcentral.